RNAcentral lists this ribosomal RNA (333 nucleotides) under uncultured Paracoccaceae bacterium. RNAcentral's name for it is "bacterial SSU rRNA". It matches the Rfam family "Bacterial small subunit ribosomal RNA", at positions 1026 to 1382 of the family's 1533-position model. The record is from RNAcentral. Lineage: Bacteria; Pseudomonadati; Pseudomonadota; Alphaproteobacteria; Rhodobacterales; Paracoccaceae.
CAGGGGAGACAGGUGGUGCAUGGUUGUCGUCAGCUCGUGUCGUGAGAUGUGGGUUAAGUCCCGCAACGAGCGCAAACCCACACUCCUGGUUGCCAGCAUUCAGUUGGGCACUUUAGGAGAACUGCCGGUGAUAAGCCGGAGGAAGGUGUGGAUGACGUCAAGUCCUCAUGGCCCUUACGGGUUGGGCUACACACGUGCUACAAUGGUGGUGACAAUGGGCUAAUCCCAAAAAGCCAUCUCAGUUCGGAUUGGGGUCUGCAACUCGACCCCAUGAAGUCGGAAUCGCUAGUAAUCGCGUAACAGCAUGACGCGGUGAAUACGUUCCCGGGCCUU